CUCUGUGACUCCUACGGGGAGGCAGCAGUGGGGAAUAUUGCACAAUGGGGGAAACCCUGAUGCAGCCAUGCCGCGUGUGUGAAGAAGGCCUUCGGGUUGUAAAGCACUUUCAGUAGGGAGGAAGGUAGUGUAGUUAACACCUGCACUAUUUGACGUUACCUACAGAAGAAGCACCGGCUAACUCCGUGCCAGCAGCCGCGGUAAUACGGAGGGUGCGAGCGUUAAUCGGAAUUACUGGGCGUAAAGCGCAUGCAGGCGGCCUGUUAAGUCAGAUGUGAAAGCCCGGGGCUUAACCUCGGAAUUGCAUUUGAAACUGGCAGGCUAGAGUCUUGUAGAGGGGGGUAGGAAUUUCAGGUGUAGCGGUGAAAUGCGUAGAGAUCUGAAGGAAUACCAGUGGCGAAGGCGGCCCCCUGGACAAAGACUGACGCUCAGAUGCGAAAGCGUGGGGAGCAAACAGGAUUAGAUACCCUUGGAG
Molecule: ribosomal RNA, 475 nt
Filed under: uncultured bacterium
Lineage: Bacteria
Description: bacterial SSU rRNA
Rfam family: Bacterial small subunit ribosomal RNA
Source: RNAcentral